AUGCUUUACACAUGCAAGUCGAACGGCAGCAUAGAGAGCUUGCUCUCUGAUGGCGAGUGGCGAACGGGUGAGUAAUAUAUCGGAACGUGCCUAGUAAUGGGGAAUAACUAAUCGAAAGAUUAGCUAAUACCGCAUACGACCUACGGGUGAAAGCAGGGGAUCUUCGGACCUUGCGUUAUUAGAGCGGCCGAUAUCUGAUUAGGUAGUUGGUAGGGUAAAGGCCUACCAAGCCAACGAUCAGUAGCUGGUCUGAGAGGACGAUCAGCCACACUGGAACUGAGACACGGUCCAGACUCCUACGGGAGGCAGCAGUGGGGAAUUUUGGACAAUGGGGGCAACCCUGAUCCAGCCAUUCCGCGUGAGUGAAGAAGGCCUUCGGGUUGUAAAGCUCUUUCGCAAGAGAAGAAAUCUUAUCGUCUAAUAAACGGUAAGGAUGACGGUACCUUGACAAGAAGCACCGGCUAACUAUG
Molecule: ribosomal RNA, 470 nt
Filed under: uncultured bacterium
Lineage: Bacteria
Description: bacterial SSU rRNA
Rfam family: Bacterial small subunit ribosomal RNA
Source: RNAcentral